RNAcentral lists this ribosomal RNA (433 nucleotides) under uncultured bacterium. Its description in RNAcentral is "partial 16S ribosomal RNA". It matches the Rfam family "Bacterial small subunit ribosomal RNA", at positions 29 to 507 of the family's 1533-position model. The record is from RNAcentral.
AAUGAACGCUGGCGGCAUGCCUAACACAUGCAAGUCGAACGAGACCUCCGGGUCCUGUGGCGUAUGGGUGUGUCACGCGUGGGAACAUGAACUCGGGUUUGGAAUACCUCUAAGAAUGGGGUGACAACACCGGACAAUGUCUUCGGCCCAAAGAUUUAUCGAACUUGGAUGGGCAAGCGUUGGAUUAGCUCGUUGGUAGGGUAAUAGACUAAUACGGGGUGGAUCAAUAGCUGGUUUGUGAGAAAGGUCAGCCACACUGAGAGUGAGACGCGGCCCAGACUCCUACGGGAGGCAGCAAUGGGUGAUAUUGGACAGUGGGCGGAGGGCUGAUGCAGCUAUGCCGGGUGAGUGAUGAAGGCCGGAGGGUUGAAAAGCUCUUUUACCCGGGAUGAUAAUGACGGUACCGAGAGAGUAAGCUCCGGCUAACUCCGUG